UAUAGCCAUGAAAAACAAUGAAUUAGCUGAAAUGAUACAGAAAAGAUUAGCAUGGCCCCUGUACAAGAAUGACUGGCAAAUCUGUGAAGUGUUCUAUUAAAAA
This is a non-coding RNA of Canis lupus familiaris (dog), 103 nucleotides long. The record is from Rfam. NCBI's taxonomy places the organism in Eukaryota, Metazoa, Chordata, Mammalia, Carnivora, Canidae.